RNAcentral lists this ribosomal RNA (483 nucleotides) under uncultured bacterium. Its description in RNAcentral is "partial 16S ribosomal RNA". It matches the Rfam family "Bacterial small subunit ribosomal RNA", at positions 28 to 507 of the family's 1533-position model. The record is from RNAcentral.
GACGAACGCUGGCGGCGUGCUUAACACAUGCAAGUCGAACGCUGAAGCUCAGCUUUUGUUGGGUGGAUGAGUGGCGAACGGGUGAGUAACACGUGAGUAACCUGCCCCCUUCUUUGGGAUAACGCCCGGAAACGGGUGCUAAUACUGGAUAUUCACUGGCCUUCGCAUGGGGGCUGGUGGAAAGGGUUUUUCUGGUGGGGGAUGGGCUCGCGGCCUAUCAGCUUGUUGGUGGGGUGAUGGCCUACCAAGGCUUUGACGGGUUGCCGGCCUGAGAGGGUGACCGGUGACACUGGGACAGGGUUCAGGCCCCGACUGGUGCGGGAAGCGGCAGAGGGUAAAAUAGGGCCAUAAGCGCAAGCCUGACGCACCGCCGGCGCGUGGGGGAUUGUGGCCUUGGGGUGGUGGAGCUCUUUCACUCAUGGUCAGGCCGCUACAAUGGUUUUGGUGAGGGUAGUAGGUAAAGAAGCGCCGGCUAACUACGGG